AGUGAACGCUGGCGGUAGGCCUAACACAUGCAAGUCGAACGGCAGCACAGUAAGAGCUUGCUCUUACGGGUGGCGAGUGGCGGACGGGUGAGGAAUACAUCGGAAUCUACUUUUUCGUGGGGGAUAACGUAGGGAAACUUACGCUAAUACCGCAUACGACCUACGGGUGAAAGCAGGGGAUCUUCGGACCUUGCGCGAUUGAUUGAGCCGAUGUCGGAUUAGCUAGUUGGCGGGGUAAAGGCCCACCAAGGCGACGAUCCGUAGCUGGUCUGAGAGGAUGAUCAGCCACACUGGAACUGAGACACGGUCCAGACUCCUACGGGAGGCAGCAGUGGGGAAUAUUGGACAAUGGGCGCAAGCCUGAUCCAGCCAUACCGCGUGGGUGAAGAAGGCCUUCGGGCUUUAAAGCCCAUUUGUUGGGAAAGAAAAGCAGCAGGUUAAUACCCCGCUGUUCUGACGGUACCCAAAGAAUAAGCACCGGCUAACUUCGUG
This 492-nucleotide ribosomal RNA is filed under the name uncultured bacterium. RNAcentral describes it as "partial 16S ribosomal RNA". It matches the Rfam family "Bacterial small subunit ribosomal RNA", at positions 29 to 507 of the family's 1533-position model. The record is from RNAcentral.